This 92-nucleotide small nucleolar RNA is filed under the name Gopherus agassizii (Agassiz's desert tortoise). The record is from RNAcentral. Lineage: Eukaryota; Metazoa; Chordata; Testudines; Testudinidae.
GGUCCCCAAUGAUGUCAGCACUGGGCUCUGAACUCCUGUGAUGAAAUCAGUGCCUCCUGGGGACUUGACACCCUGAGGGGGUGCUGGGGGGC